AUAAAGGCUUUAUGCUUGCAAAGCCACACAUUGAAUCAAAAGAGCAGUA
Non-coding RNA from Mesitornis unicolor (brown roatelo), 49 nucleotides. The record is from Rfam. NCBI's taxonomy places the organism in Eukaryota, Metazoa, Chordata, Aves, Mesitornithiformes, Mesitornithidae.